ACUGGUUUGGAAGUACAGACCUAUUUAUGUUAGUAAGUUUAAAGUUGUUCCCGUUUAGCGUUAUCCUCGAUACCUCUUCAUUGUUAAUUCCUUCUAAUUAAUUCCCAUAAAUAAAAAUACAAAACAAACCGCCUAUGCCUUAUGGCAAAUUAAAUAAAUUAAAGGAAAUUCUAUGUCUAAUACAAUGACUGGUACAGUAAAAUGGUUCGAUGAAGGUAAAGGUUUUGGUUUUAUUACUCCA
This 241-nucleotide unclassified non-coding RNA is filed under the name Proteus vulgaris. RNAcentral describes it as "cspA". It matches the Rfam family "cspA thermoregulator", at positions 1 to 229 of the family's 428-position model. The record is from RNAcentral. Lineage: Bacteria; Pseudomonadati; Pseudomonadota; Gammaproteobacteria; Enterobacterales; Morganellaceae.